RNAcentral lists this ribosomal RNA (716 nucleotides) under uncultured bacterium. RNAcentral describes it as "bacterial SSU rRNA". It matches the Rfam family "Bacterial small subunit ribosomal RNA", at positions 46 to 756 of the family's 1533-position model. The record is from RNAcentral.
GCCUUACCAUGCAAGUCGAACGGCAGCACGGGAGCAAUCCUGGUGGCGAGUGGCGAACGGGUGAGUAAUAUAUCGGAACGUGCCCAGUCGUGGGGGAUAACGUAGCGAAAGCUACGCUAAUACCGCAUACGAUCUAUGGAUGAAAGCGGGGGACUCGCAAGAGCCUCGCGCGAUUGGAGCGGCCGAUAUCAAAUUAGCUAGUUGGUGGGGUAAAAGCCCACCAAGGCGACGAUCUGUAGCUGGUCUGAGAGGACGACCAGCCACACUGGAACUGAGACACGGUCCAAACUCCUACGGGAGGCAGCAGUGGGGAAUUUUGGACAAUGGGCGAAAGCCUGAUCCAGCAAUGCCGCGUGCAGGACGAAGGCCUUCGGGUUGUAAACUGCUUUUGUACGGAACGAAAAAGUCUUUUCUAAUAAAGAAGGCUCAUGACGGUACCGUAAGAAUAAGCACCGGCUAACUACGUGCCAGCAGCCGCGGUAAUACGUAGGGUGCAAGCGUUAAUCGGAAUUACUGGGCGUAAAGCGUGCGCAGGCGGUUAUAUAAAACAGAUGUGAAAUCCCCGGGCUCAACCUGGGACCUGCAUUUGUGACUGUAUAGCUAGAGUACGGUAGAGGGGGAUGGAAUUCCGCGUGUAGCAGUGAAAUGCGUAGAUAUGCGGAGGAACACCGAUGGCGAAGGCAAUCCCCUGGACCUGUACUGACGCUCAUGCACGA